CAGCAGCCGCGGGAAUACGUAGGUGGCAAGCGUUGUCCGGAAUUAUUGGGCGUAAAGGGCUCGCAGGCGGUCUCUUAAGUCUGAUGUGAAAGCCCCCGGCUCAACCGGGGAGGGUCAUUGGAAACUGGGAAACUUGAGUGCAGAAGAGGAGAGUGGAAUUCCACGUGUAGCGGUGAAAUGCGUAGAGAUGUGGAGGAACACCAGUGGCGAAGGCGACUCUCUGGUCUGUAACUGACGCUGAGGAGCGAAAGCGUGGGGAGCGAACAGGAUUAGAGACCCCAGUAGUCCCUGUCUCUUAUAC
RNAcentral lists this ribosomal RNA (301 nucleotides) under uncultured bacterium. Its description in RNAcentral is "partial 16S ribosomal RNA". It matches the Rfam family "Bacterial small subunit ribosomal RNA", at positions 509 to 807 of the family's 1533-position model. The record is from RNAcentral.